Molecule: long non-coding RNA, 910 nt
Organism: Eucalyptus grandis
Lineage: Eukaryota; Viridiplantae; Streptophyta; Magnoliopsida; Myrtales; Myrtaceae
Exons: 4
Source: RefSeq, a predicted model, not a curated record
AGGAGCAGAAGUAUUUGCUCGUCAGAAACGGGUUCUGGCUGUACUCAGUGAGGCCAGGUAUCUUACUAUAACAAGCUUGUCUAAGAUGGAAACUAUCAGCUCUUAAGGAACGGGGAACACUUAAAGAAACUGUUCAGUGGGGUGGUAGAAACAUGGAUAAGAAGAAAAGCAAGCUCGUAGGCAUUGCAGAUGAUGGACAGAAAGAGAUCCGCAUUGAAAGGACAGAUGAAUUUGGCCGAAUAUUAACCCCAAAGGAAGCUUUCCGAUUGCUUUCCCAUAAAUUUCAUGGAAAAGGGCCUGGCAAAAUGAAGCAAGAGAAGCGCAUGAAGCAAUACCAGGAAGAAUUGAAGUUGAAGCAUAUGAAGAAUUCAGACACGCCUUCUUUGUCUGCAUAGAGGAUGAGGGAAGCUCAAGCUCAAAUGAAGACACCUUAUCUUGCGCUUAGUGGUCAUGUUAAGCCUGGUCAAAACAGUGAUCCAAGAAAGAAGUCAGAGCCACCAUUGAGAAGGAUCCUGGGAGCUUAACGCCCAUUGCUUGGAGAUAGGAAGGUCAGUGUCGACCCAAGUCUGUUGCUUUUUCAUCUCUAAAUAUAGAGCGCAAAGAACAAAUAGAGAAAGCAGAGGAGAAAGAACGAAUGAGAAAAGAAAAACAAGAGAGGGAAAAAAGAGAAGCUGAGGGGAAAGCUGGCAAAGAGAAAACCAAAACAGCUAAGGAAAUUGAUCAAGAGAGAAUUGAAAAGGGUGGAGGAGGUGAAAGUGAUACGUCAACUACAGAGAGUAUGCUUGAUGAAAGGAUUGGCCUUGUGGAUGAUUAUCCAUCUGACCAGGAUUCGGAAGAAGAUUUGGCAGCAGAACAUGAUCAUCUAUCGACUGGAGUCCAAGAUAAGGGAAUUACGGCAAGUCAUCAAAAG